CCGCCCGUCACACCAUGAGAGUUGGUAAUACCAGAAGCACGUAUCUUAACCGUAAGGAGGGAGCGUACCAAGGUAGGAUUAGCGAUUAGGGUGAAGUCGUAACAAGGUAUCCGUACGGGAACGUGCGGAUGGAUCACCUCCUUUCUAUGGAGUAUUCGUAGAUUAAGAGAAAAAGCUGAGUGAAACGAUAAAACAGCUUAUGAUUAUAUCUCGUUCUAUCUAGUUUUCAGAGAUUGUUUUUGCGGGCCUUUUGGCCCAAACAAUUUCUGUAAAGAAAAUCGUUCUUUGAAAACUGAAUAUUAGAUGAAAAUAGACAUUUUAUUUUUCUUACGUUUAUAAACAAUAUAAAACGUAUUAGUAACUUAAUUUAGAUUAAUACUAAGAAAACUAAAAUUUCAUUAAUUUUAUAGAUUAUCUAUAUAUGCAAUAGGUUUUUCUUUAGAAAGUAUAGUAAGGGCGUAUGGUGAAUGCCUUGGAAAAUGGAGCCGAUGAAGGACGUGACUACCUGCGAAAAGUGCCGGGGAGCUGGAAGUAAGCUUUGAUCCGACAAUGUCCGAAUGGGGAAACCCAGCACGAUUAAUCUCGUGUUAUCCAUAACUGAAUACAUAGGUUAUGAGAAGGGAACCUUGGGAACUGAAACAUCUUAGUACCAAGAGGAAAAGAAAACGAAUGUGAUUCUGUAAGUAGCGGCGAGCGAAGGCGGAACAGGCCAAACCGGUCUACGGGCCGGGGUUGUAGGACUCAUGUUAGAGUUACAAAGUUAGUGUAUAGCAGAAGCUGUUGGGAAGCAGCGCCGCAGAGGGUGAUAGCCCCGUAUGCGAAAUGCACUAACCUCGAGUGAGUAUCCUGAGUACGGCGGGGCACGAGAAACCCUGUCGGAAUCUACCCAGACCACUGGGUAAGCCUAAAUACUACCAUUUUACCGAUAGUGAACCA
This 936-nucleotide small RNA is filed under the name Spiroplasma floricola. Its description in RNAcentral is "bacterial LSU rRNA". The stretch from base 441 to 936 matches the Rfam family "Bacterial large subunit ribosomal RNA", at positions 1 to 497 of the family's 2925-position model. The record is from RNAcentral. Lineage: Bacteria; Bacillati; Mycoplasmatota; Mollicutes; Entomoplasmatales; Spiroplasmataceae.